This 254-nucleotide ribosomal RNA is filed under the name uncultured bacterium. RNAcentral describes it as "partial 16S ribosomal RNA". It matches the Rfam family "Bacterial small subunit ribosomal RNA", at positions 524 to 777 of the family's 1533-position model. The record is from RNAcentral.
UACGUAGGGGGCAAGCGUUGUCCGGAUUUAUUGGGCGUAAAGAGCGUGUAGGCGGCCAAGCAGGUCCGCUGUGAAAACUCGAGGCUCAACCUCGAGACGUCGGUGGAAACCGUUUGGCUAGAGUCCGGAAGAGGAGAGUGGAAUUCCCGGUGUAGCGGUGAAAUGCGCAGAUAUCGGGAAGAACACCCGUGGCGAAGGCGGCUCUCUGGGACGGUACUGACGCUGAGACGCGAAAGCGUGGGGAGCGAACGAGG